Molecule: long non-coding RNA, 536 nt
Organism: Brassica napus (rape)
Lineage: Eukaryota; Viridiplantae; Streptophyta; Magnoliopsida; Brassicales; Brassicaceae
Exons: 2
Source: RefSeq, a predicted model, not a curated record
UUUAAAAAAAAUUAAAAUACUGACAAAAAAUCAUGUUAAAUCCUAAAAUUUCUAAAAUUCCAAAUAACUAAAUCCCUAAAAUAUCUCACAUAAUCACUUCACGUUCUUCACCAAAAAAAAGAAAAAAAAAACUUUCACGUUCUAAAAUUACAGUUACAAUUUAAAACUGUUUUCUUUUUAAAUAAGUUUGACUAAAAAACUUUACUCUCUACUAAUCUCCUUCUCUCUCUCCUUCCUCUUCUCCAUUGUUUCAUAUUCUUCUUUUUUACGAUUACAAGUUUUUGACUGAAGCAAAAACAACAUAGGACAUAAGGUUUAUAAUUACUUUGACCGAGUAUACUCAUGUUUCAAAGCUUAAUUCUUUUUAAACUUCAAAGCUUUUUUUUUUGGCAGCAUAAAUUUCAAAGCUUAAUUCUCCAAUAAAUGAGUGACAAAUCGAAGCUUUGUCAGCAACAAAGGGAAGGAGAGUAAGAGGCUCAUCUUAGAUCACACUUCCAUGGCCCAUAAGAAACUUGAGAAGUACCACAAGAAGAAAA